Oncorhynchus tshawytscha (Chinook salmon) is the source of this 1047-nucleotide long non-coding RNA. The record is from Ensembl. NCBI's taxonomy places the organism in Eukaryota, Metazoa, Chordata, Actinopteri, Salmoniformes, Salmonidae.
GAGUAACACAAGAUAUGUCACAACAGGUCUAAAAAUGUGUGUCAUGACAAGUUAUGUCAAGUUAUGUCAAGUUAUGUCAGCUGUUAUGACAUAUUAUGACAUGGUUUCCAAAUGAACAUGUAAGGAACAGAGACACCUGCUUAGAAUUUCAGGUCAAUGUUGAUGCUUGAACCUAUGCCAAUGAAUAUGUCCAGUGUGGCAUGAUAAAUAAAACAAAGCUAUAACAGGAAUGUUACAAUAUAAUUCUGCCUACGUUGAUGUAUAUGAAGACGUGUGAUCCGUGUGUUUGUUUUGGGGGGCUGCGUCCUGUUGGAAAUUCCCACUCUCCUUAUAAAGAUGGUCUUGAAUACUUCCAUUAUCUUGUUGCUGUGACAACCAUGACUUCAAAGAAAUUCUGUCAGAAGAAAAAGGUGGGGUGGGAGAGGGAGAGAAAAAAAAUGUGUUCAGCAAAAAAAAAAUAGCAGAGGGGGUUUGACAGUGAGCUGUGAGUUCGUGAUGGGGAGGGAGGUGAAGGGGAGAGGGAAGCAGUUGAGGGCGGUCUAUGGAGAGAAAGGGGGAGGGAGGUGAAGAGGAGAGGGUAGCAGUUGAGGUGCAGUCUAUGGAGAGAAAGGGGGAGGGAGGUGAAGAGGAGAGGGUAGCAGUUGAGGUGCGGUCUACGGAGAGAAAGGGGGAGGGAGGUGAAGAGGAGAGGGUAGCAGUUGAGGUGCAGUCUAUGGAGAGAAAGGGGGAGGGAGGUGAAGAGGAGAGGUUAGCAGUUGAGGUGCGGUCUACGGAGAGAAAGGGGGGGGUUAAGAGGAGAGGGUAGUAGUUGAGGUGCGGUCUACAGAGAGAAAGGGGGGGGUGAAGAGGAGAGGGAAGCAGUUGAGGUGCGGUCUACGGAGAGAAAGGGGGAGGGAGGUGAAGAGGAGAGGGAAGCUGUUGAGGUGCGGUCUACAGAGAGAAAGGGGGUGAAGAGGAGAGGGAAGCAGUUGAGGUGCGGUCUACGGAGAGAAAGGGGAGGGUGAAGAGGAGAGGGAAGCAGUUGAGGUGCGGUCUACGGAGAGAAAG